UCUGACGGAGCACGCCGCGUGAGUGAUGAAGGUUUUCGGAUCGUAAAGCUCUGUUGUUAGGGAAGAACAAGUGCGAGAGUAACUGCUCGCACCUUGACGGUACCUAACCAGAAAGCCACGGCUAACUACGUGCCAGCAGCCGCGGUAAUACGUAGGUGGCAAGCGUUGUCCGGAAUUAUUGGGCGUAAAGGGCUCGCAGGCGGUUUCUUAAGUCUGAUGUGAAAGCCCCCGGCUCAACCGGGGAGGGUCAUUGGAAACUGGGAAACUUGAGUGCAGAAGAGGAGAGUGGAAUUCCACGUGUAGCGGUGAAAUGCGUAGAGAUGUGGAGGAACACCAGUGGCGAAGGCGACUCUCUGGUCUGUAACUGACGCUGAGGAGCGAAAGCGUGGGGAGCGAACAGGAUUAGAUACCCUGGUAGUCCACGCCGUAAACGAUGAGUGCUAAGUGUUAGGGGGUUUCCGCCCCUUAGUGCUGCAGCUAACGCAUUAAGCACUCCGCCUGGGGAGUACGGUCGCAAGACUGAAACUCAAAGGAAUUGACGGGGGCCCGCACAAGCGGUGGAGCAUGUGGUUUAAUUCGAAGCAACGCGAAGAACCUUACCAGGUCUUGACAUCCUCUGACAACCCUAGAGAUAGGGCUUUCCCUUCGGGGACAGAGUGACAGGUGGUGCAUGGUUGUCGUCAGCUCGUGUCGUGAGAUGUUGGGUUAAGUCCCGCAACGAGCGCAACCCUUGAUCUUAGUUGCCAGCAUUCAGUUGGGCACUCUAAGGUGACUGCCGGUGACAAACCGGAGGAAGGUGGGGAUGACGUCAAAUCAUCAUGCCCCUUAUGACCUGGGCUACACACGUGCUACAAUGGACAGAACAAAGGGCUGCAAGACCGCAAGGGUUUAGCCAAUCCCAUAAAUCUGUUCUCAGUUCGGAUCGCAGUCUGCAACU
Molecule: ribosomal RNA, 937 nt
Filed under: Bacillus sp. (in: firmicutes)
Lineage: Bacteria; Bacillati; Bacillota; Bacilli; Caryophanales; Bacillaceae
Description: bacterial SSU rRNA
Rfam family: Bacterial small subunit ribosomal RNA
Source: RNAcentral